CUGGCCCCCGUGCCCCAGUGGGAAGGGGAUGGGGGAAAGGGAGAGAGGCUGUUUCUGCUAACCGCUCCACCGACCUUCCUUCUGGGUAAAUAUCUCCAUAUGUUAACAAAUGCUAAUUAAAACCAAAAGCACAGACGAGCUCUCAGGAUGUGUGUGUAACAGGAGCACCCCAGGAUCCUGCACUGCUGUAAUCUUUCUCCUCCCAAUGGAUCUCACCUUUUAUUUGGUGUUGCACCUCCCUGACUGAUAUUUAACCUUGCUCCUGGUGCUCUUUGUUGGAGUUUUGCCAUGCAUACAAUACUGCUCUGAUGGGUGUCUACAGAUACCUGAGGGGCGAGCCCAGGUGUUUUGCUGGUCAAGAGGGAAAAUAUGUUUAUUUGCAGCAUGCCUUGCAGUCAUUUGCUUUGAAGGCCUGGGAAGAAGAGAUGUUGGCAAAGGGGAAACAUCCACAUCAUAGAUACUGUCAGGCUCUACAAGUCUAAGCACCCAGGACUUAAAAAAGACAUCUACAGACACUGACAUCAAACCACUCAUGGGUACUGUGCUAGCUUUGGGCUGGCACCGACUGCACCACCCAGUGAUCUCUGUCAUGUGGGUAGAAAUCGUCACCAAACUGUGUGCUCUUUGCUACUACAAGGUGUUAGCCUGGCAGGGGGUUGUAUGUGAGACUGUUUUGGGAUCCUGCCUGCUUCUGAUCACUUCAACUCCCACACUGCUGGUACAAGCACUGAAGAAAGGGGAUUAUUUGAAGCAAAUAGCCUAUAGAUGGACAAAUAUAAAUAAAUAAAUAGAUGGACAAAAUCUUCUUACUACAUUGUCACUGAUAGAAAACGGCAGCAAAUGCAGAUAUGGUCUUUGUCAACAAAAUUUUGGUGGACAACUGGUGAUGGACUUAACUGGAUGCUUGCAUCCUAAGCCAACUGCUGUAAAGAUAAAAGCAGCCCUUUCAAGUUGUUGCAUUGGGGUUCAAAAGCAAAACUGAGAAGGCUUCACUAGGGAACUUGAUCUCUUGUAGUGCUUAUUCUCACAAACCAAGAGCAGCAAUUAAUAUCUCUUUCAGAUGGUGAGAAUCUCUUUCAGAUGGUGAGAAUAAACAGUCUUGUAGACAUGCA
Molecule: long non-coding RNA, 1112 nt
Filed under: Cyanistes caeruleus (blue tit)
Lineage: Eukaryota; Metazoa; Chordata; Aves; Passeriformes; Paridae
Description: lncRNA (ENSCCEG00000001362.1)
Source: RNAcentral